Molecule: ribosomal RNA, 497 nt
Filed under: uncultured bacterium
Lineage: Bacteria
Description: partial 16S ribosomal RNA
Rfam family: Bacterial small subunit ribosomal RNA
Source: RNAcentral
GAUGAACGCUGGCGGCGUGCCUAAUACAUGCAAGUCGAGCGAACAGACGCGGCGCUUGCUCCUCUGACGUGUGCGGCGCACGUGUGUGUAACACGUGUAUAAUCUACCUUUCAUUCGGAGAUCACUUCGGGAAACCUGAUCUUACACCGUAUUAUAUAUUCAUCCGCUUGGUGUAGUUGUGAAGGGCGUUUUUGCUGUCACUUGUACUCGCAUCCUCUCCGCUUUUGCUAGUUGUUAAGGUAACGGCUUACUAUGGCGACAAUGCGUAGCCGACCUGUGAGGGUGAUAGGCCAAACUGGAACAGAGACACGGUCCAAACUCCUACAGGAGGCAGCGGUAGGGAAGUUUGCAAAAUUGGCGAAAGCCUGAAGGAGUAACGCCGCGUGAGUGAUGAAGGUAUUCGGAUCGUAAAACUGUGUUAUUAGGGAAGAAAAAAUGUGGAAGUAACUAUGCACGUCUUGACGGUAGCUAAUCAGAAAGCCACGGCUAACUACGUG